UACGUAGGGGGCAAGCGUUGUUCGGAAUUACUGGGCGUAAAGAGCGUGUAGGCGGCCAGGUAGGUCCGUUGUGAAAACUCGAGGCUCAACCUCGAGACGUCGGCGGAAACCCUCUGGCUAGAGUCCGGAAGAGGAGAGUGGAAUUCCUGGUGUAGCGGUGAAAUGCGCAGAUAUCAGGAAGAACACCCGUGGCGAAGGCGGCUCUCUGGGACGGUACUGACGCUGAGACGCGAAAGCGUGGGGAGCAAACAGG
This 253-nucleotide ribosomal RNA is filed under the name uncultured bacterium. Its description in RNAcentral is "partial 16S ribosomal RNA". It matches the Rfam family "Bacterial small subunit ribosomal RNA", at positions 524 to 776 of the family's 1533-position model. The record is from RNAcentral.